UGGGAUUACAAGUGUGUACAACUUUCCUGC
RNAcentral lists this non-coding RNA (30 nucleotides) under Rattus norvegicus (Norway rat). The record is from RNAcentral. Lineage: Eukaryota; Metazoa; Chordata; Mammalia; Rodentia; Muridae.